Molecule: non-coding RNA, 72 nt
Organism: Nippostrongylus brasiliensis
Lineage: Eukaryota; Metazoa; Nematoda; Chromadorea; Rhabditida; Heligmosomidae
Source: Rfam
GUUUCAGUAGCAUAGUGGUUAGUGCAAAGCCCCGGAUAGAUUGAGAUGCGGGUUCAAAUCCCGCCUGAGAUG